Long non-coding RNA from Selaginella moellendorffii, 1097 nucleotides. RefSeq lists it as uncharacterized. NCBI's taxonomy places the organism in Eukaryota, Viridiplantae, Streptophyta, Lycopodiopsida, Selaginellales, Selaginellaceae. The record is from RefSeq and is a predicted model, not a curated record. The transcript has 6 exons.
UGGCAAAAUGAUUGCACAGGUUCUGGCCUAGGAAUAAUUUAACCACGUCCACAAGCUACGCGAUCGACGCCGUGUAUUCUGUCGAGAAUCUCCAUCCACUGGACGGAGCCAUUUCCAGGACGACAACUUUCGUCACGGGACUCCCCAUAAAAACUGCUACACCCGCACAAGACUACACGCAGGGGUCAAUCUCAGACGGGGAUGGUGGCUCCAUGUGCUGCUGUUGGUUGGGCCCGGCUCGAGUGGCUGCUUUGGCAGAGGGAAAGAGAGCGAGAUCAUAUGAAUGAGGCCAAAGUUACGAGCAGCAACAGCACGUGAAACAGUCCAAGGCAUCCUUUGGAUUCACCAGAAGUGGUCACAUCCCAGAUUUUCAUUGCGACAAAGGAGGCGGGCAGCCAGGGAUUUGCCAAACAUCAAAGGCUAGUAGUUUUUCUUUUAUUUUUUAUUUUUUGUUUCUAGGAAAUGUUCUUUAUGCAGCCGCUUAUACCUUGUCUACGAAUCGCUGAAGCUCAAGGCGCAUAUGCAAUGUAUUUAUGCAUCAGGAACUGAAGAGCGUGAACUUCUUCGGCCCGCUACCAAACUUUAGUUCGAUCGCAAGGCCAGAGGAAGAACGUCGAGCCACUUUUCUGGUGUGCAAAAUCACCCUCAACGCACCCGCGUCCCUGCAAAGUACCCGCUUCUAACGGCCAGCAGCGAUCAUCGUAGCCGCAUGCCAAGACUUUGUCGAGAAGAACUGUGCCGCGGCCAAUGAGGUUAUCGUAGAGCGAGUGGUCGUUCCGAACCUCCACACUGAUCUCCUGGCACCCCGGGAUCACUAACGCCACGAACUUCUUGUUAAACACAGGAUUCACGCCACCAUCUGCCACAGUGAUACGCUUCCAUCAUCAGCUCGAAUUUUCUCAUCAAGCACAAGAAGAACUCACGCCGGAGAACUCUGGUUCCAAACUUGUUGGAUCCGUACUCCAAUUUCACGAAAGGAUCUUGCUUGCCAAUCCAUUCGGUGUUCUUCAAAUUUUUCCCAUCGAGAACUAAAACCACCACCAACAUUGUAGCUAAAAUUCCAACGCAACAAACGUACCAUUGAUGUCGAGUUUCCA